Non-coding RNA from Pelodiscus sinensis (Chinese soft-shelled turtle), 394 nucleotides. The record is from RefSeq and is a predicted model, not a curated record. Lineage: Eukaryota; Metazoa; Chordata; Testudines; Trionychidae.
AUUGCAAAUGCUGACAGGCUACACGUUCUAUUCCGAAGGUUACUGAUUCAGCCACACUGGGUCAAAUUCUGAGUCUUUAAUCGAGUAAAACUCCCACUGAAGUUAACAGGACUUCCAGUCGAGUGACAAGUACAUUUAUUUGACUACUAAAUGCUGGCUCCUCACUAUUUCAACCAGAAAGGGCACAGGAGAAUUUUCAACGACAGGUAAUUGGGAAAACUUGGCUCAUAGAACAAAAGCAUCUCAUAACAAGCUGGAUCCUUCACAGAGCCGGGAAGGAGCAUUGUGCAUCGCUAGCAAUGCUGGAGACUUAAGAGCCAAAUAACAGAGGGUCUGAUCCUGCUUUUAACCUCCUUGGGCACACAGUUUCAGACUUGCAAGUUGCCAUUCUCAG